Long non-coding RNA from Manacus vitellinus (golden-collared manakin), 293 nucleotides. RefSeq lists it as uncharacterized. The transcript is spliced from 3 exons. The record is from RefSeq and is a predicted model, not a curated record. NCBI's taxonomy places the organism in Eukaryota, Metazoa, Chordata, Aves, Passeriformes, Pipridae.
GAGUUUUUGGGCAAAAAAGGGUCGCUUAGCACGAUAUUUACUAUGAAAAGUCAUAAAGAAUAGACUGGAAGAUAUUUCAGAGAUAACUGGUUUCCCAUCUCCCAGAGUAGUCCUGAUGGUCUUGGAGACGCAGCUUCCUUCAGGAUCUGCUGUGCCGAGUAAGGACCGGAGUGGAUCGGAUUCACCCCAGGAGAGGGCAGCAGUGUGCUUGCACAAAAUCGCCCUGUCUUGCCUCUGUGGGGUCUUUCUUUUGUACCAAGAAUCGAAUUCCUAUUAAAUCAAUUUUAAAAGCA